Molecule: long non-coding RNA, 116 nt
Organism: Nanorana parkeri
Lineage: Eukaryota; Metazoa; Chordata; Amphibia; Anura; Dicroglossidae
Exons: 3
Source: RefSeq, a predicted model, not a curated record
AGUGUAAGAUCCUCUGUACAGAAACUAAUGUGACUGGCUCAGUGUUCUCUGUACAGCAAUGCGGUAUAUGUCUGAGCUGUAUAAAUGUACAAUAAUAGUACACAGAUGCCUAUAUC